AAUAGAUACCCCGGUAGUCCACGCCGUAAACGUUGGGCACUAGGUGUGGGGGGGCCGUCAACGCUCUCUGUGCCGUAGCUAACGCAUUAAGUGCCCCGCCUGGGGAGUACGGCCGCAAGGCUAAAACUCAAAGGAAUUGACGGGGGGCCCGCACAAGCGGCGGAGCAUGUUGCUUAAUUCGAGGCAACGCGAAGAACCUUACCUAGGUUGAACUACGCAGGAAAAGCCACAGAGAUGUGGUGUCCUUCGGGGCCUGCGAUAGGUGGUGCAUGGCUGUCGUCAGCUCGUGUCGUGAGAUGUUGGGUUAAGUCCCGCAACGAGCGCAACCCUUAUCCUAUGUUGCCAGCGGGUAAUGCCGGGGACUCGUAGGAGACUGCCGGGGUCAACUCGGAGGAAGGUGGGGACGACGUCAAGUCAUCAUGCCCCUUAUGUCUAGGGCUGCAAACAUGCUACAAUGGCCGGUACAGAGGGCUGCGAAACCGCGAGGUCGAGCGAAUCCCAAAAAGCCGGUCUCAGUUCGGAUUGAAGUCUGCAACUCGACUUCA
This 545-nucleotide ribosomal RNA is filed under the name uncultured bacterium. Its description in RNAcentral is "bacterial SSU rRNA". It matches the Rfam family "Bacterial small subunit ribosomal RNA", at positions 777 to 1320 of the family's 1533-position model. The record is from RNAcentral.